This is a long non-coding RNA of Betta splendens (Siamese fighting fish), 1748 nucleotides long. Ensembl lists it as uncharacterized. NCBI's taxonomy places the organism in Eukaryota, Metazoa, Chordata, Actinopteri, Anabantiformes, Osphronemidae. The record is from Ensembl.
ACGACAUGGCCAAAGGGAAAGCGAAGUUCAGCAGUGAAAGCGUAGCUGCACCACAGCCUAGAUCACUCAGGUCAAGAAAGAGGGAAUGUCCAAGUGAGGAGCUUUCUGUGGAUGCUGAAGCUCCUCUCCAUCAACAGGACUCUAAAGGAAACAAUACAGCAGUGGUCAGGACACAUGUUCAGAGUCUCGAGUCCCCUCUGCAGGAAUGUGCUACUAUUACAAGUCAUCUACUUCAGGCAGCAGAGCAGUCCUGUCCCACCAAACACGACGCCUUCACUGAAGAAAAGCAGGCAGAAAACAAGAUGGAAGCUCCUGACGAGCUGAAAGAGAAUCCAGCCACCUGUCCCAACCAGGAUCCCCAGCCACAAGGCUGUAUAAUAAAUCUUGAAAAUGGUGUUGGAAAGAAAGAAAUACAACCAGAAAAAGUAACCGUACUGGUAUCCGAUACACUCACUGAUCAUCAACAAGUGCUAACUGCUGAAGAUGCUGAUGGAUUCUGUGUAGACGCUUUGGAGAAGCAACUUGAUGCAAAGACAACGUCUUAUUGUAACUUGGAGAGCCGCCAUGAAAGCAGCCAAGACAAACCGAGCCAGGUGUGUGUGGAUGACUUUAGAGACGUUGCAUUGGGCUUACCUGUCAGGAAGAAGCGAAGGAUGGGUAUGUGUGGUCUGACAGAGAAGGAGCGCAGUUAUUUUCUACAGACACAAAAGCGGGAAAAUGGGCACAGCGAAGUAGAGGUUGAAAAGCAGCUUUGUAAUAACGCGGUGGACCCUGUGGCUCAGGAUGACACUGUAACUCCAGCCCCUUCGGCAGAGAUACAACUUCAGUCCAGCCUCUGUGGAGGGGAUACAAGGACAGAAACUGAAGUCACUACGUUAGAUGGGACCGGUGCUUUGGUCCAUUCGGACGGCUCUGAGGGAAAGACCAGUGAGGCUGAGGAAAGCACAGUGACAGAACAACAGUCAAAUCAAGGUGCAGAGAAGACAGUGGGCAGCCCUUCAAUGAGUCUGAAGGAACAGGAACAAGAGGAAGCUAUACCUGUGAAACAACGAGAAGAUGGGGAGGAGGACUCAGCACGUUUUGACCGCAUUCCUUUCACCACCAAUUACACUAAAACAUCUCAGAAUGAAGAGACUGAGAAAAAGAACAAUGGGAGUGAGACUGACAGUCUGCUGGUAGGUGUGACUGGGAUGAGAGAUGAGAUGAUGGAUGACAAUGGAGUCGAAGCAGGCGCUGCCGCCACAGACUCAGUGGGAUUCAACUGUGUGAAGCUGAAUUGUGCUCUUUAUGUGGAACCUGCUGCUGGUUCUUCCACUGUGAACACAGAGCACAAUGAGACCGGAGACACCAUGGAGCCGUUUGGAUCACAGCACUUUGAUGAUGUUUCAGACUCACAGCUGAACUCCAUUGCUCUGAUGGAGGAGAAGAGGAUGGGGAAAGAGGAAGAUGCUGGUUUCUCAUCCUGUCCACAGGAUACCACAAACCACAAAGAUGCCACAAACCUGGUCUGUGGGCUCAUCAGAGAACUCUCCUCUUUAAAUCGAAAGGUCAUGGCCGCACACAGGGAGCUGGAGAACCUGCGCCGUGGUAGUUCCAGGAGCUCCACACACUGAGGACACUGAGCCUAAUGUUGCCUGGAGGGUUCAUUGUUCCACUGUUAAUGAAUAUUUUAGUUUAUUAUAUUUUGUAUAUCGUUUAGACUGAGAAGUCAGGCGUUCCUGUUCCAAUAAAGCUGGUUGUAUAACUCA